UACAGAGGUCUCAAGCGUUGUUCGGAUUCAUUGGGCGUAAAGGGCGCGUAGGCGGCGGGGUAAGUCUGGUGUGAAAUCUCGGAGCUCAACUCCGAAAUUGCACUGGAUACUGCUCUGCUUGAGGGUUGGAGAGGAGAUCGGAAUUCACGGUGUAGCGGUGAAAUGCGCAGAUAUCGGGAGGAACACCGGUGGCGAAGGCGGUUCUCUGGGCCUGACCUGACGCUGAGGAGCGAAAGCGUGGGGAGCAAACAGG
RNAcentral lists this ribosomal RNA (253 nucleotides) under uncultured bacterium. RNAcentral's name for it is "partial 16S ribosomal RNA". It matches the Rfam family "Bacterial small subunit ribosomal RNA", at positions 524 to 776 of the family's 1533-position model. The record is from RNAcentral.